This 310-nucleotide long non-coding RNA is filed under the name Cyanistes caeruleus (blue tit). RNAcentral describes it as "lncRNA (ENSCCEG00000009705.1)". The record is from RNAcentral. Lineage: Eukaryota; Metazoa; Chordata; Aves; Passeriformes; Paridae.
GGGGGAAUGAAGAUGCAUUACUUCUACACAAAGCGUGCAGUCACAGUGAAUAACGAGUGAUGUCUCUGGAAGAAGCCCUGCAGUCCUUUAUAAGGUGUAUUUGCUCUCUCAAACACUGAGAGUGCUUGGAACACAGCUAUUAUUUUAAAUCACCUACUAUUGCCCACAGUGAACGAACAGCCUGUAAAAGCAAGGAAAACUUUUUUGUUCAUAUAUGCAAUGAGGUCUCUUGCCUGGAAACUGACAUUAUCACCCACUGUUCUCAGCAUUCAGGUACUAGUGACUCAGAGUGGCUUAUAAAAUAUGAAGA